GGUUGUAUUCUCUCGUUACAGGCUUAUCUUUUCUUGAAUGGAAAUGGGUACAACUGUUUUAAAAAAAAAGUUUUAAGGAAGUCUCGGCUCUGAACAGAACUGCUUCAUUCUCAGUGGCUCAAGAAUGGCAUCAGGCUGCCCUGCUUCAGUGUGUUCUCUGAGCGCAGGGACUGUCCCCGGGGGACACUGACACUUAGGAACGGGUGACUUCGCAUUGGGAGCAGGAGGGGCGCGGAGUGCAGAAACGCGGCGGGCGGCGUCACCGCAGCCGGAGGCGCCUUCUGCGGUCUGCAGUAACGUGCAAGGCCAGCCGGCUCUCGCCAGUGAAGACCCGGCCAAGAGCGACUGCGGUGACGCUGCAGCCGGCAGGCACCCCUGGUGUGUCGAGAGCACAGGGCUCGGGCUCCUUCGUCGGCUCAGUGUGACGCCGACCCGUGUGAGUCGUUCUAUGGGGUCCCGGGCGGGCAAGCGGAAGAGCGUCACCCGCCUUUCCUUCCGGGGCCGCCGAGGCUGCGACCCUAUCCUGUGCGUUUAUGGAGUCCCAAGCUAUUCGGCCUCGUUGGUUGUUUUUUUUUAAUGACCUCCAAACCUAGUAACAGAGUCAGGUCGCACAGUCCAGAGAUUUGGAUGUAAAAAGUGGUGAUCCGGUGCAACUGGCUUGGCCAGGAGCGCCGGAGAACGGAGCGGAAGUUCCUUCUCCGCCAUCUUUAUUCCUGGCAGCGCCGUCCGGUCCGCCUGGAGUCCGGGCGGCUGGACUGGGAGCCACAUGAGGCCACAGGAGGCGGCGAGCGCAGCCAUGUGUGUUUUGAAAGAGCACUGCUCCUCCCCCACCCACCCAGGUGAGCUUGGGGUCUCCUGAUCUCUUGUGAUUUCAUACCAAGUUUAAGCAUUGUUUCUAGUUUUGUGUAAAAUGUUGUGAUAAUUUUAUGGCAAUUUCACUGAAUCUAUGUUAUUUGGGUUAUUUUAGCGAUCCAUGAUCAUGGUAGGUCUUUCUUUUUCUAAUGCCUUGUUUAAUUGAAAAUUUUCAUGUAAUAUGUUCUGAUCACACUUUUGCUCUCUCCCAACUCCUCCCCAAACUUCCCUACCCA
Molecule: long non-coding RNA, 1088 nt
Filed under: Cricetulus griseus (Chinese hamster)
Lineage: Eukaryota; Metazoa; Chordata; Mammalia; Rodentia; Cricetidae
Description: lncRNA (ENSCGRG00015033932.1)
Source: RNAcentral